Molecule: non-coding RNA, 851 nt
Organism: Procambarus clarkii (red swamp crayfish)
Lineage: Eukaryota; Metazoa; Arthropoda; Malacostraca; Decapoda; Cambaridae
Source: RefSeq, a predicted model, not a curated record
AGGCAAAAGAAGCUGCAGAGUUAAUAAGAUAGGAGUUAGCUGACUUAUCUCUUGAUGAAAAACAACUUCUCAUCUGGAUUGCAGAGUUAACCAACUUAGCCCAGAGUUUAAAUAAAAGAUCAGUUUCUCAAAAUGAUGUUCAAAAGGGGAUAGAGUUAGUAUGUGACUCAAUUAGAACCAAGAAAUCCCACAUAUCCAGUGUAGCAGUUUCAAGCAAAAUGAGAUCACGAUACCGUGCAAAGAUUGAAGCAGACAAGAAAAAGUUGAGGGAACUGAUAGCGGUCUACAAUGAAGACAAUAUUAACUUAAUUACUCCACUGAAAUAAAUGUUAUUGCAUUAUAGCUACUUGGUAAUUAUUUUAACAGGAACAGGGUAAAUACUCAAUAAAGAAGUCAUCAUUCCAGCAUGUAACCAGUGGACUUACGGCCCUCUUGCUAAAUAUGAAAAAAUUAUAUCAAAUUAAACUAAUUGAGGCAACUAACCUGUUUUCUGAAGACAGGGAAGUAGAGUACAACAAAUUUCAAACAGACAGUCAAGAUUCCGAGGAUUCCGAGACCGACAGUGACAACAGUGUAGUCAGUAUUGAGUCACAGACUGACAACGAAGAAAUGGAAGAAACACUCUUCCCUUUGAUUUGAGUAGCUUUAAGUAGCAAAGCAAAGAGAAAAUAACAAGUAUUCUCUACCCCUGGGUUGGGCAAAUGUUCUUUGCCCAAAUCAUCGUCAUGUUAAUUUUGCAUCCCUAUGUUGCUCAAGAAAGAUUUGUUUUCAAAUUAGUUUUUAUUUUUAUUAAUUACCCUCAAAGUUUUGUUUAGUUUAGAAAUGCUUAUUAAAUAAAUUGUAGUUGUAGU